GAUAGCGUGUUCGAGUGGUUAAGGAGGUGGACUCGAAAUUCACUGGGCUCUGCCCGCGCAGGUUCGAAUCCUGCCGCUGUCG
Molecule: transfer RNA, 82 nt
Filed under: Perkinsus marinus ATCC 50983
Lineage: Eukaryota; Perkinsozoa; Perkinsida; Perkinsidae
Rfam family: tRNA
About the family: Transfer RNA (tRNA) molecules are approximately 80 nucleotides in length. Their secondary structure includes four short double-helical elements and three loops (D, anti-codon, and T loops).
Source: Rfam by way of RNAcentral